RNAcentral lists this non-coding RNA (27 nucleotides) under Bombyx mori (domestic silkworm). Lineage: Eukaryota; Metazoa; Arthropoda; Insecta; Lepidoptera; Bombycidae. The record is from RNAcentral. RNAcentral also lists the same sequence under 1 other name.
UAUCACAGCCAGCUUUGAUGAGCGAUA